CGGAAUAUGUCAUGUAGCGGUGAGAUGCAUAGAUAUGACAUAGAACACCAAUAGCGAAGGCAGCUUACCAGAUCAUAACUGACACUGAGGGACGAAAGCGUGGGGAGCGAACAGGAUUAGAUACCCUGGUAGUCCACGCCGUAAACGAUGAUCACUAGACAUUGGCGACAUACUGUCGGUGUCAAAGCGAAAGUAUUAAGUGAUCCACCUGGGGAGUACGCCGCCAACGGUGAAACUCAAAGGAAUUGACGGGGUCCCGCACAAGCGUUGGAGCAUGUGGUUUAAUUCGAUGAUACGCGAGGAACCUUACCUGGGCUUAAAUGCAGAACGACCUCCCGAGAAAUCGGGAUUUCUUCGGACGGACUGCAAGUUGCUGCAUGGUUGUCGUCAGCUCGUGCCGUGAGUUGUCGGUUUAAGUCCCAUAACGAGCGCAACCCCUAUCGUUAGUUGCCACCGGAUAAUGCCGGGGACUCUAACGAAACUGCCCGUGCAAGCGGAGAGGAAGGUGGGGAUGACGUCAAAUCAUCACGGCCCUUACGUCCAGGGCUACACACGUGCUACAAUGGCGCAUACAAAGGGCAGCUACCACGCGAGUGGAUGCUAAUCUCUAAAGUGCGUCUCAGUUCGGAUUGAAGUCUGCAACUCGACUUCAUGAAGCUGGAAUCGCUA
RNAcentral lists this ribosomal RNA (669 nucleotides) under uncultured organism. RNAcentral describes it as "bacterial SSU rRNA". It matches the Rfam family "Bacterial small subunit ribosomal RNA", at positions 662 to 1337 of the family's 1533-position model. The record is from RNAcentral.